AUUGAACGCUGGCGGCAGGCCUAACACAUGCAAGUCGAACGGUAACAGGAAGAAGCUUGCUUCUUUGCUGACGAGUGGCGGACGGGUGAGUAAUGUCUGGGAAACUGCCUGAUGGAGGGGGAUAACUACUGGAAACGGUAGCUAAUACCGCAUAACGUCGCAAGACCAAAAAGGGGGACCUUCGGGCCUCUUGCCAUCGGAUGCGCCCAGAUGGGAUUAGCUAGUAGGUGGGGUAACAGCACACCUAGGCGACGAUCGCUAGCUGGUCUGAGAGGAUGACCAGCCACACAGGAGCUGAGACACGGUCCAGGCUCCGAGGGGAGGCAGCGGUGGGUACUAUUGCAAGAUGGGGGCAAGCCUGAUGCAGCCGUGGCGGGUGGAUGAAGAAGGCCUGCGGGUUGUAAAGUGCUUUCAGCGUGGAGGAAGGGAGUAGAGUUAAUACCUGUGCUCAUUGACGUUACCCGCAGAAGAGGCACCGGCAACCACCUU
This 489-nucleotide ribosomal RNA is filed under the name uncultured bacterium. RNAcentral's name for it is "partial 16S ribosomal RNA". It matches the Rfam family "Bacterial small subunit ribosomal RNA", at positions 29 to 506 of the family's 1533-position model. The record is from RNAcentral.